Small nuclear RNA from Monodelphis domestica (gray short-tailed opossum), 96 nucleotides. The record is from Ensembl. NCBI's taxonomy places the organism in Eukaryota, Metazoa, Chordata, Mammalia, Didelphimorphia, Didelphidae.
GUGCUCACUUUGGAAGCAUAUAAAUUAAAAUUGGAACAAUUAGCAUGGCUCCUGCACAAGGUCAACAGGCAAAUUUGUGAAGCAUUCCAUAUUUUA